This 560-nucleotide ribosomal RNA is filed under the name uncultured bacterium. Its description in RNAcentral is "bacterial SSU rRNA". It matches the Rfam family "Bacterial small subunit ribosomal RNA", at positions 74 to 656 of the family's 1533-position model. The record is from RNAcentral.
AAGACGCAAGUAUCUUAGCGGCGGACGGGUGAGUAACGCGUGAGGAACCUGCCUUCUACAAGGGGAUAGCCUCGGGAAACCGGGAUUAAUACCCUAUGACACUUAAACAUCCCAUGAUGAUUAAGUUAAAGCGUAAAGCGGUAGAAGAUGGCCUCGCGUCCCAUUAGUUAGUUGGUGAGGUAAUGGCUCACCAAGACAGCGAUGGGUAGCCGGCUUGAGAGAGUGACCGGCCACACUGGAACUGAGACACGGUCCAGACUCCUACGGGAGGCAGCAGUGGGGAAUAUUGCACAAUGGAGGAAACUCUGAUGCAGCGACGCCGCGUGAGCGAUGAAGGAAUUCGUUUCGUAAAGCUCUGUCCUAUGGGAAGAUAGUGACGGUACCAUAGGAGGAAGCCCCGGCUAACUACGUGCCAGCAGCCGCGGUAAUACGUAGGGGGCGAGCGUUGUCCGGAAUGACUGGGCGUAAAGGGUACGCAGGCGGCUAGAUAUGUCAGAUGUGAAAGACAUGGGCUUAACCCAUGCAAGCAUUUGAAACUGUCUAGCUUGAGUUAAGGAGAG